GGGAAUAUAGCUCAGUUGGUAGAGUGCUUGCCUUGCAUGCACAAAGCCCUGGGUUCAAUUCCCAGUAUCACCU
Non-coding RNA from Ictidomys tridecemlineatus (thirteen-lined ground squirrel), 73 nucleotides. NCBI's taxonomy places the organism in Eukaryota, Metazoa, Chordata, Mammalia, Rodentia, Sciuridae. The record is from Rfam.